UGAAAAGCCCGCUCGCCGGAAGACCAAGGGUUCCUGUCCAACGUUAAUCGGGGCAGGGUGAGUCGACCCCUAAGGCGAGGCCGAAAGGCGUAGUCGAUGGGAAACAGGUUAAUAUUCCUGUACUUGGUGUUACUGCGAAGGGGGGACGGAGAAGGCUAUGUUGGCCGGGCGACGGUUGUCCCGGUUUAAGCGUGUAGGCUGGUUUUCCAGGCAAAUCCGGAAAAUCAAGGCCGAGGCGUGAUGACGAGGCACUACGGUGCUGAAGCAACAAAUGCCCUGCUUCCAGGAAAAGCCUCUAAGCAUCAGGUAACAUCAAAUCGUACCCCAAACCGACACAGGUGGUCAGGUAGAGAAUACCAAGGCGCUUGAGAGAACUCGGGUGAAGGAACUAGGCAAAAUGGUGCCGUAACUUCGGGAGAAGGCACGCUGAUACGUAGGUGAAGCGACUUGCUCGUGGAGCUGAAAUCAGUCGAAGAUACCAGCUGGCUGCAACUGUUUAUUAAAAACACAGCACUGUGCAAACACGAAAGUGGACGUAUACGGUGUGACGCCUGCCCGGUGCCGGAAGGUUAAUUGAUGGGGUUAGCGCAAGCGAAGCUCUUGAUCGAAGCCCCGGUAAACGGCGGCCGUAACUAUAACGGUCCUAAGGUAGCGAAAUUCCUUGUCGGGUAAGUUCCGACCUGCACGAAUGGCGUAAUGAUGGCCAGGCUGUCUCCACCCGAGACUCAGUGAAAUUGAACUCGCUGUGAAGAUGCAGUGUACCCGCGGCAAGACGGAAAGACCCCGUGAACCUUUACUAUAGCUUGACACUGAACAUUGAGCCUUGAUGUGUAGGAUAGGUGGGAGGCUUUGAAGUGUGGACGCCAGUCUGCAUGGAGCCGACCUUGAAAUACCACCCUUUAAUGUUUGAUGUUCUAACGUGGACCCGUGAUCCGGGUUGCGGACAGUGUCUGGUGGGUAGUUUGACUGGGGCGGUCUCCUCCUAAAGAGUAACGGAGGAGCACGAAGGUUGGCUAAUCCUGGUCGGACAUCAGGAGGUUAGUGCAAUGGCAUAAGCCAGCUUGACUGCGAGCGUGACGGCGCGAGCAGGUGCGAAAGCAGGUCAUAGUGAUCCGGUGGUUCUGAAUGGAAGGGCCAUCGCUCAACGGAUAAAAGGUACUCCGGGGAUAACAGGCUGAUACCGCCCAAGAGUUCAUAUCGACGGCGGUGUUUGGCACCUCGAUGUCGGCUCAUCACAUCCUGGGGCUGAAGUAGGUCCCAAGGGUAUGGCUGUUCGCCAUUUAAAGUGGUACGCGAGCUGGGUUUAGAACGUCGUGAGACAGUUCGGUCCCUAUCUGCCGUGGGCGCUGGAGAACUGAGGGGGGCUGCUCCUAGUACGAGAGGACCGGAGUGGACGCAUCACUGGUGUUCGGGUUGUCAUGCCAAUGGCACUGCCCGGUAGCUAAAUGCGGAAGAGAUAAGUGCUGAAAGCAUCUAAGCACGAAACUUGCCCCGAGAUGAGUUCUCCCUGACCCUUUAAGGGUCCUGAAGGAACGUUGAAGACGACGACGUUGAUAGGCCGGGUGUGUAAGCGCAGCGAUGCGUUGAGCUAACCGGUACUAAUGAACCGUGAGG
This 1614-nucleotide ribosomal RNA is filed under the name Shigella flexneri. RNAcentral describes it as "partial 23S ribosomal RNA". It matches the Rfam family "Bacterial large subunit ribosomal RNA", at positions 1322 to 2915 of the family's 2925-position model. The record is from RNAcentral. Lineage: Bacteria; Pseudomonadati; Pseudomonadota; Gammaproteobacteria; Enterobacterales; Enterobacteriaceae.